GAUGAACGCUGGCGGCGUGCUUAACACAUGCAAGUCGAACGAUGAAGCCCAGCUUGCUGGGUGGAUUAGUGGCGAACGGGUGAGUAACACGUGAGUAACCUGCCCUUAACUCUGGGAUAAGCCUGGGAAACUGGGUCUAAUACCGGAUAGGAGCGUCCACCGCAUGGUGGGUGUUGGAAAGAUUUAUCGGUUUUGGAUGGACUCGCGGCCUAUCAGCUUGUUGGUGAGGUAAUGGCUCACCAAGGCGACGACGGGUAGCCGGCCUGAGAGGGUGACCGGCCACACUGGGACUGAGACACGGCCCAGACUCCUACGGGAGGCAGCAGUGGGGAAUAUUGCACAAUGGGCGCAAGCCUGAUGCAGCGACGCCGCGUGAGGGAUGACGGCCUUCGGGUUGUAAACCUCUUUCAGUAGGGAAGAAGCGAAAGUGACGGUACCGGCAGAAGAAGCACCGGCUAACUACGU
Molecule: ribosomal RNA, 465 nt
Filed under: uncultured bacterium
Lineage: Bacteria
Description: partial 16S ribosomal RNA
Rfam family: Bacterial small subunit ribosomal RNA
Source: RNAcentral